UUGUCUCAAAGAUUAAGCCAUGCAUGUCUCAGUACAAGCCAAAUUAAGGUGAAACCGCGAAAGGCUCAUUCAANAUCAGUUAUGGUUCCUUAGAUCGUACCCACAUUUACUUGGAUAACUGUGGUAAUUCUAGAGCUAAUACAUGCAAACAGAGCCCCGACCGGAAACGGAAGGGGCGCUUUUAUUAGAUCAAAGCCAAUCGGUGUCGGUCUUUUCCGUCAUCGUACCAUUUGGUGACUCUGAAUAACUUUACGCUGAUCGCACGGUCUCGCACCGGCGACGCAUCUUUCAAAUGUCUGCCUUAUCAACUGUCGAUGGUAGGUUCUGCGCCUACCAUGGUUGUAACGGGUAACGGGGAAUCAGGGUUCGAUUCCGGAGAGGGAGCCUGAGAAACGGCUACCACAUCCAAGGAAGGCAGCAGGCGCGCAAAUUACCCACUCCCGGCACGGGGAGGUAGUGACGAAAAAUAACGAUACGGGACUCAUCCGAGGCCCCGUAAUCGGAAUGAGUACACUCUAAACCCUUUAACGAGGAUCAAUUGGAGGGCAAGUCUGGUGCCAGCAGCCGCGGUAAUUCCAGCUCCAAUAGCGUAUAUUAAAGUUGUUGCGGUUAAAAAGCUCGUAGUCGAAUUUGUGUCUCGUGCCGCCGGUUCAUCGUUCGCGGUGUUAACUGGCGUGUCGCGAGACGUCCUGCCGGUGGGCUUAGCUCGCAAGGGCGGCCCAACUCAAUCCCGCCGCGGUGCUCUUCACUGAGUGUCUUGGUGGGCCGGCACGUUUACUUUGAACAAAUUAGAGUGCUUAAAGCAGGCUAAAACUUCGCCUGAAUACUGUGUGCAUGGAAUAAUGGAAUAGGACCUCGGUUCUAUUUUGUUGGUUUUCGGGACCCCGAGGUAAUGAUUAAUAGGAACGGAUGGGGGCAUUCGUAUUGCGACGUUAGAGGUGAAAUUCUUGGAUCG
RNAcentral lists this ribosomal RNA (955 nucleotides) under Derispia sp. COL981. RNAcentral describes it as "SSU rRNA". It matches the Rfam family "Eukaryotic small subunit ribosomal RNA", at positions 32 to 927 of the family's 1831-position model. Lineage: Eukaryota; Metazoa; Arthropoda; Insecta; Coleoptera; Tenebrionidae. The record is from RNAcentral.